Molecule: ribosomal RNA, 467 nt
Filed under: uncultured Desulfobulbus sp.
Lineage: Bacteria; Pseudomonadati; Thermodesulfobacteriota; Desulfobulbia; Desulfobulbales; Desulfobulbaceae
Description: bacterial SSU rRNA
Rfam family: Bacterial small subunit ribosomal RNA
Source: RNAcentral
CCGCACAAGCGGUGGAGUAUGUGGUUUAAUUCGAUGCAACGCGAAGAACCUUACCUGGUCUUGACAUCCCGGAGACCCUUAGGAAACUAGGGGGUGCUUCCAUCUGGAAGAAUCUGGAGACAGGUGCUGCAUGGCUGUCGUCAGCUCGUGUCGUGAGAUGUUGGGUUAAGUCCCGCAACGAGCGCAACCCUUGCCUUUAGUUGCCAGCAGUUCGGCUGGGCACUCUAAAGGGACUGCCGGUGUUAAACCGGAGGAAGGUGGGGAUGGCGUCAAGUCCUCAUGGCCUUUAUGACCAGGGCUACACACGUACUACAAUGGCCGAUACAAAGGGCAGCGACACUGCGAGGUGAAGCCAAUCCCGUAAAAUCGGUCUCAGUCCGGAUUGGAGUCUGCAACUCGACUCCAUGAAGUUGGAAUCGCUAGUAAUCGUGGAUCAGCAUGCCACGGUGAAUACGUUCCCGGGCCUU